Molecule: long non-coding RNA, 3923 nt
Organism: Phyllostomus discolor (pale spear-nosed bat)
Lineage: Eukaryota; Metazoa; Chordata; Mammalia; Chiroptera; Phyllostomidae
Exons: 3
Source: RefSeq, a predicted model, not a curated record
AGGUCUCUUAGUGAGUACUCAUCCAGAUGGUCUGCAUGUGUGUCAUAUCUCCAUGAAGCAAAAUGAAACUGAGAGAGCUUCAAAGCAAAGGCUCCUCAUUCUGUACUGUUGCAGAGAAUCGCUUGAACAGCGUGUGCUCAGUUGAUUUAGUGGCCCUGCUGAUGUCUGGACCAGCACACCCCUUUCUUUAAAGAUGAUACUCUGGAGGUGCACAAGAAUGCUCUGUGCCCUUCAGAACACUGCAAUGAAAUACCGUUACAUCACGGUAAUGUCCUUUCACGCGUCCUGCAGGACACAAAAUGUUCAAAUAAGGGUGUUAGAGGGUUUGCAGAGCUGGUCAAUAGAUGCUUAUUGAGGGCUUUACUGUUUUCUCUGAGCAAGAAUGUGGGAAAACAACAGAGACCCUCAUGUGGCUUGAAGUGUGCAGCCUCCGAGCCCUGCCCUGCUGGAAGUCCAGCUCAGCCAUCGCUUCAUCUUGCUCACCUGGCCUGAGCAGGUGGGCUGGUGCAAGCGUGCAGAUUUCAUCCCUGCUUGGCACUCGGCGGUGCUGUCAGAAACAUGCCUGUAUCAUCAAUUCCCUAAUCACUCCCGAGAGACUGAUGCAUUUCUGUAAAAGCCCGAUUUACAUGGUGUGACUACAAAUUAAAAAGACGGAUUUUGUUCUGGUUUUGUUGAAAUCAUUCUUUAGAGACAAUGUUUAAAACAAAAUUUAUCAAAUGGUCUGUAGUCUACUUACUCCCAGAUAUUAAUCUCUGCCAACCAUGCUGGGAAGCUCUUUCCCUCUUGAAAAAUUUCCAUUCUUGUGAAUUUAGUCCUUUCAUGUGGAGUCAACCUUAUAAGACUAUUAUUAUUGCCUUCUCUUUUUUGAGGGAAAAGAACAAAAAAGGCAUUGGCAGCUGAUUGUUUGGCUGGUUCAUAGAAUGAGAGACAAAUGACGUUUUCUUUAAAAAUAUACAAAGCUCUACUAAAAUAGGACUUCAUAUUACCGGUUGCAGUUAUUAACUUAGGAGCCAAUGGGGUUUCUACUUUCUCAAGAUAAAAGCUUCUCAUGUUAACACCACCUACUGCAUAAUGUCUUGGCAUAAUGUGCAGAAUUUUCUUUGUUACAUAAUUAGUGAAUGGCAACUUUUUCCUCAUGCCUUCCAAUUUUGGGGCAAAGAUAACUCCAUGAGUUCUAAGAAUGAGAGCUUGUGUUCUCCUUAGAAAUAGUGAGCAAGGCAGUAAAACAGAUUCUCUUUUUAGAUUAUGUGUUAAUAUCCUGCAUUAUUGUAUGUUACAUAUACAUAGGUUAUUCAGACAACUUUUCUAAAACAGUAACACAAAUAAACAUUAUAAUUCUUUACCACCAACCUCAGUAUUUCUGGAAAAGUGUGUGGUAAAUAAAAGAGGUUUGGCAGAAAGCUCUUUCGCCUUCAUUCUCAAUCUUCUUGGCUCCUCACUCACUUCCUAUGAAUCUAUAACAUCCAAACUGUCCCCUGUUGGCACAGGAAGAUGGGAGAAAUGGAUGUGACUGAGGCACUCAUACAUUUGGAGAUUCCCAAAGCUUCCUGUACUAGGGGAGGGAAGUGAGUGCUGAGGACAGGAAAUAGGUUUCUAACAAGGGAAGGGGCUGUCAAAUCCUUUUCCCUGGCAGUCUCAGUCCCUCUGGAGAGCGGGGUCUCCAACCACCUCAUGACAUAAAUUCUUUCCAUUGUCCCUGGAAUUGUGGUCUUUCCACAUCACCACUUUGGGAAUGUUUAUUGACUGGUAGGGCUUAGGAAGAGUGGUGAAUUAUUUCCAACCAAAGUGUUCCACUUUGAUGUGUGAUUAGAGGGAGAAUUGAGGGGCUAUUAGAUUUCCAUAACGAUUGGAAUUGUUAAGACUGAAAGAAGUGCUUCUGUUUUAGUUUUUAGAAUUUUUAGAUUUAUAUUGCAAACCAGGAUACAAUUAAGGAAAUAUUGGUGUGCAAACUUAAAAAAAGUAUAAAAUAUAGUUCUGAAUGCCUUUUGUGUAGAACAUUAGAUCAGUGAGAUCCAGAAACUGUAGAAUAAUAAACUCCUAUUUUCACUUUUAAAAUAUAGGAGGCAUAUUUCACUGUGCUUGUUAUACAGAGUAAAUGGAAGGAUAAAACAUUGCGAAUAUUAUGAAGUGUUGUGUUUCUGACUUGAGCUACUGUUUAGAAUGCUGAUUGUCAUUUACACAUUAUGUAUAGGAAACAAUAUGAGUUUUAUAAAAUUACUAAGUUUAUGAGAGGAUUAAGCAGGUUUUGCUUUUAUAGUCAUAACAUGUUCAAAUGUAUUUGCAUCAAAUGGGAGAUAUAAUUUCUCUUUGUAAUUGAAAUUUAAAUCUCAGCAGAAAUAUGGCACUUAGAAAACUAUUUUAUGGGCCUUUCUUUUAUAAAGAUUCUGCACAGAAAGAAGGUUACACAGCUGGAGAUUGUUUAGAGACAAUUAAGACUUAUUGGCUUUUCAGCUGUUGAUAAGAGCAGGGUGCUGGGACUCUUGGCAUCUUGAAAUCAUUACCCAGGUGAUUUUCCUUUACAGCACUGAGCUCUUUGGUAUUCUGAAAAAAUUAUUUAGCAUCAGAGACUCAAGGGGAUGGUCAGGAUCGAUGCAAAGUAUACAUUUGUCUUUGACAUGAUGCAUACAGGGUGAACCUGAGACCCUGGCCAUCUUUUCAAGACUAUGACUUCUUUUCCUGAGGAAAAUAUUAAAGAAUAAUUUUUUUUAAUACCUUCUCCUGUUUCUUGCCCUUCUGAAAUGGCUCCCUACUUCCUAUAGAUUUUAAUAUCUACCUCUGUCCCUUUUCCACUCCAGACUAUGAAAGAGGCUCCCUGAUACAACCACCCUGAGAAGUAAGUGAGUUAGAUUUAUUCCCAAAAUACUGAUGAUGGGGACAAGGAUUUUAUGGGUGACUUUUACUUAGGAGGAACUUUCAGAAUCCAUUCAUAAAAUAUUUUUCACUGAAGGGAUCUUUCUGGUCACUCACAAAUCAAACCACAUAGGGGAUACUUACAUUAUGAAUAAACAUGUCUAUUUUACACAAGAUCUCUGAGAAUAUAAUCUUUUAUAGUUAAACACUUUAAGUUGGCAACUGGCUUGAUCAUGUUAUAGCCAGACCACAAGGGGCCGAGACACUCUGGUGCGAACAGACACUCUGGUGCAAAGCAUCAAUGAUCUGAAUUCCUCCUGCAACUAGUAGGAAAUUUGAGUUGACUUAUUUUCAGUAGUGUGAGUAAGGAUAUUAUACAGGUAAGGGUGAAUGUCUGUUACUGAAGUUUGAUUUCCGAGCUGUGACUCUUACCCUUACUUGAUAAAUCUCUCUAUAUUUUAAUGUGACAAAAUUAAUUUCUUGAUACAUAGUUAAAAGCAAGCUGAAUAAUAAAUUCAUUUAAUUUACCCUAUUACACUAGUACUUUGUGUGAAUUAACUUUGGGGAAACAUAUUGAACUUGUCUUGGACUUUCUUUUUCACCCUGGGACCAGAGAUGGAUGGUGUUACAAAUGCUCCAUCUCUGUACUUUGCUUCUGCUUGACAUGAUUUUGUUCUUUUUGACAGAUGUUCAGUGGUAAAAAGUAAUGUGAUUAUUAAGUUCUCACUUGACAUUGUGGAAAUUUCAAUGCUAAGUUAGCAGGUAAAAGUGUCAUAAUCUAUUUCUAUUAUGUUUACUUCCAGAACUUCAAAGGAUUAGAGCAAUCGGUUCCUGAGUCAGAAAGGAGAGUGUAACAUGCCGACACCAAGUGAAAUUAAGUUUGUUAACAGUACUUGACCUUUCUACAACUCUACAGGUUUUGCUUCAUUUUCUGGAGGAAGAUGAUUUACAAAGAGAUUAGGUAAGUUGUCCAACAUCCCACAGAGAGGAAGUUGCCAUUUGAGUAAGGCCAUCUGAACCCCACGUCCAGUUGGUUGUGCACCAGAUAGUUGGGUUCCUGCCUAUUUCAUUUG